CUAACAAGGAUUCCCCUAGUAACGGCGAGUGAAGYGGGAUGAGCUCAAAUUUGUAAUCYGRCGGUCUCCGGCCGUCCGAGUUGUAGUCUGGAGAAGCGUCUUCCGUGCCAGACCGCGUYCAAGUCCCUUGGAACRGGGCGUCGUAGAGGGUGAGAAUCCCGUCUGUGACGYGGACUACUGGUGCUCUGUGAUGCGCUCUCGAAGAGUCGAGUUGUUUGGGAAUGCAGCUCAAAAGGGGUGGUAAAUUCCAUCUAAAGCUAAAUACGGGCGAAAGACCGAUAGCGAACAAGUACCGUGAGGGAAAGAUGAAAAGGACUUUGGAAAGAGAGUUAAAGAGUACGUGAAAUUGUUGAAAGGGAAACGCUUCAAGUCAGUYGCGUCUUCCGUAGGAGAUUCAGCCGGGUGUUUCAYCCGGUCUARUUCUCUCGGUGUGACCUGCCAGCRUGGAUUU
This 451-nucleotide ribosomal RNA is filed under the name Statesia zelleri. Its description in RNAcentral is "Hysterangium sp. AHF602 partial 25S ribosomal RNA". It matches the Rfam family "Eukaryotic large subunit ribosomal RNA", at positions 65 to 511 of the family's 3401-position model. The record is from RNAcentral. Lineage: Eukaryota; Fungi; Basidiomycota; Agaricomycetes; Hysterangiales; Hysterangiaceae.